UUUUUUUUUUUUUUUUUUUGCAACUUUAACAAUCUAAGUAAAUAAAGCAUAAACAAAUCUUAACAUGUAGCCAUUUCCUCUUAUAUCUAUGACAUUUUUUUUUUCAGCAGAAGAAUUGAAAACAGUAAAAUUUUCUUGUGUUUUCAGCAGUAGAGGGAAAAGACCUUGGCAUUCAAUCUUCUAUUUUCCUAAGAUAUUAAUAUCUACAAUAGUUUAGUUUUAUUUUAUUUGGAUUGCAAAAAUAAUUUAUGUAUAUUUUUUUCUAUGCUUAUUAAUCCUUUGUAGAUUGGCAAUUUUGAUAAGUUUCGUUAAAUAUAGCUAUAUCUAAGAUUAUUUUAUUUUUGCUUUAUUUUAUUUUAUUUUAUGUGCCUCACUUCAUUAAAGCGGGUGCCUAGCCUGCUACUUGCACCUUUAAUUACUAUGGAUUAGACUUGAAAUGUUAAUGAACUGUAUAUUUAAAAAAUGUCUUGCCAAAUGUCAAAUCUUGUCAAACACUUACUUGAAUGAUCCAAGUCGGGCAGU
This 522-nucleotide unclassified non-coding RNA is filed under the name Hevea brasiliensis (rubber tree). Lineage: Eukaryota; Viridiplantae; Streptophyta; Magnoliopsida; Malpighiales; Euphorbiaceae. The record is from RNAcentral.